CGUAGGUGGCAAGCGUUGUCCGGAUUUAUUGGGUUUAAAGGGUGCGUAGGCGGUCCUAUAAGUCAGUGCUGAAAUAUCCCGGCUUAACCGGGAGGGUGGCAUUGAUACUGUUGGACUUGAGUAAAGUUGAGGUUGGCGGAAUUGACGGUGUAGCGGUGAAAUGCUUAGAUAUCGUCAAGAACACCUAUUGCGAAGGCAGCUAACUAAGCUUUAACUGACGCUGAGGCACGAAAGUGUGGGGAUCAAACAGGAUUAGAUACCCUGGUAGUCCACACUGUAAACGUUGAUUACUCGAUGUUGGCGAUACACGGCCAGCGUCUUAGCGCAAGCGAUAAGUAAUCCACCUGGGGAGUACGCCGGCAACGGUG
RNAcentral lists this ribosomal RNA (368 nucleotides) under uncultured organism. RNAcentral describes it as "bacterial SSU rRNA". It matches the Rfam family "Bacterial small subunit ribosomal RNA", at positions 526 to 896 of the family's 1533-position model. The record is from RNAcentral.